This 472-nucleotide ribosomal RNA is filed under the name uncultured bacterium. Its description in RNAcentral is "bacterial SSU rRNA". It matches the Rfam family "Bacterial small subunit ribosomal RNA", at positions 355 to 825 of the family's 1533-position model. The record is from RNAcentral.
UGGGGAAUUUUUCGCAAUGGGCGCAAGCCUGACGAAGCAACGCCGCGUGGGGGAUGAAGGUCUUCGGAUUGUAAACUCCUGUCGACCGGGACGAAUGCACCCAACCUAAUACGUUGAAGUGUUGACGGUACCGGUGGAGGAAGCCACGGCUAACUCUGUGCCAGCAGCCGCGGUAAUACAGAGGUGGCAAGCGUUGUUCGGAAUUACUGGGCGUAAAGGGCGCGUAGGCGGCCCCAUAAGUCUCGUGUGAAAGCCCUCGGCUUAACUGAGGAUCUGCACGGGAUACUGUAGGGCUCGAGUUCGGGAGAGGAAAGCGGAAUUCCGGGUGUAGCGGUGAAAUGCGUAGAUAUCCGGAGGAACACCAGUGGCGAAGGCGGCUUUCUGGACCGACACUGACACUGAGGCGCGAAAGCUAGGGGAGCAAACGGGAUUAGAUACCCUAGUAGUCCCUGAGCGGGCUGGCAAGGCGCAU